CCCGUGCAGUGUCGCGGGAUUUAACAUUGAUAUAUUAUUGACUUACUUCACUUGAACAUGAUAUGAACAAUUUAAUCUAGCCUCUCUGCAUAUCAUGUCGUUUCUACACUAUGUAGUUACACUUAACUUUAAAGCAUGAGGCAAUUGUGUUAAAUACACGCAAGAUGCUUACGUAAGAGCUGGCCAAUCCCUUUUUUUCACUAUAGUGAAAGUCAGAAACCUCAAGUAACCAUUCGUCAGCUGGAUGGGGAAUACACAUUUUUACCUAGCAACCAGUGGUUACCAUGGGGUCACUUAUCAGACUCAGGGCCUGCAUGACUGGGUCUUAGCAACUGAGUUUUCAUCAACUCUGCCAACCAACCAGUGUGGGAAUGCUCAUUCUUUUCUUGCUAGUUAUCGGUGGUUGCCAAAUGGUCACCAAUUUUUUGUUGUUUUUUUAUUUUGUUUUUCUCGCUAUUUGUUUGUUUGUUUGUUUGUGUUUUCAAGUUUUACCCUGGCCUGGUGAUGGGGAAGGAGGGCUUACUAUAUUUCCAAAUUUUCCCAAGAGUCUUGCAAAGUUUGUUCGCUUUGCCCUUGCAGUCAUGAAGCUGUUACUAAUUAAAUACUAGGAUAUUUUUUCAGGUGGGAAUUAACGGGGGAAGGGGGGGCAUUUGAUGGCAUCAAUAAAGUUAUACAAAAUAAAACACAGGGUGCAAAAAACUUGAGUGCAGCUGUGUAGAAGAGCUGGUGAGCAAGGCUGAUUUCCAAAGCUCUGCUCUCAAUAACGGAGAAAAACCUGACAUUUUAGUAGGUUACCAGACUCGUGACAGAUUACAUUGGUAUGAUACUUCAUGAUAAAGCCAAGUUUUCUGUAACCCUUGAUCUGGGAUCAUGUUAUUGUUUAUAAUGGCAUCAAGCAAACCAUACUAAAUAACUGCAAUGCUCAUUAAAACUCCAAAUUAAAUCCAGGUUAUAAAGUGUAUAUGAAUCCAGUAAAGCUGGCUUUUUCUUAUUGCAAUAAAAGCCUAC
Long non-coding RNA from Astatotilapia calliptera (eastern happy), 1008 nucleotides. The record is from Ensembl. Lineage: Eukaryota; Metazoa; Chordata; Actinopteri; Cichliformes; Cichlidae.